AGCUCCAAUAGCGUAUAUUAAAGUUGUUGCAGUUAAAAAGCUCGUAGUUGGAUUUCUGUCUUUUGACGGCCCGUGGAGAUUUCCAUUGAGGUAGUCGGGGACAUUUUCUAGACAGGCUGUGAAAACAGAAUGUUCUAGAGCCUUUACUUUGAGAAAAUUAGAGUGUUUCAAGCAAGCGUUUGCUUUGAAUACUACAGCAUGGAAUAAUAUUAUAGGACUUCUAUCCUAUUUGUUGGUUUACGGACUGAAGUAAUGAUUAAUAGGAACAGUCGGGGGCAUUCGUAUUUGACAGUCAGAGGUGAAAUUCAUAGAUUUGUCAAAGACGAACUACUGCGAAAGCAUUUGCCAAGGAUGUUUUCA
RNAcentral lists this ribosomal RNA (360 nucleotides) under uncultured eukaryote. RNAcentral describes it as "SSU rRNA". It matches the Rfam family "Eukaryotic small subunit ribosomal RNA", at positions 587 to 972 of the family's 1831-position model. The record is from RNAcentral.